UGUAUAUUUUACAGUACGUACACUAUACUGCAAAAUAUACAGUUUUUUAGAAAUGUUAAAUGUGGAUGUUAAAUAUAAAUGUAUUGUAUUUUAUACUACACACGUUUUCGAUAAAUCGCCAAUCCCGAUUAGCCGCCAAAAUCGUCCCCAAACGGAUGGUGGGGUCUUAUCGUGGUUUGGCUGUAUAUUGUACAAGUAUACUUCCUAGUGUGAGGAUCCGGGACGGGCUAUGUCAGAUGGACCGAGUUAAGUUUUGUUUUAAUUUAGAAUAAGGCGCGUAAGUAAGUGGCACAGGGAUCCAGGGAUGGAAGACUGAUGCAAAAGUUAGUUUUCAAGCAAGC
RNAcentral lists this long non-coding RNA (341 nucleotides) under Androctonus crassicauda. The record is from RNAcentral. Lineage: Eukaryota; Metazoa; Arthropoda; Arachnida; Scorpiones; Buthidae.